AUUGAACGCUGGCGGCAGGCCUAACACAUGCAAGUCGAGCGGAUGAAGGGAGCUUGCUCCUGGAGUCAGCGGCGGACGGGUGAGUAAUGCCUAGGAAUCUGCCUGGUAGUGGGGGAUAACGUCCGGAAACGGGCGCUAAUACCGCAUACGUCCUGAGGGAGAAAGUGGGGGAUCUUCGGACCUCACGCUAUCAGAUGAGCCUAGGUCGGAUUAGCUAGUUGGUGGGGUAAAGGCCUACCAAGGCGACGAUCCGUAACUGGUCUGAGAGGAUGAUCAGCCACACUGGAACUGAGACACGGUCCAGACUCCUACGGGAGGCAGCAGUGGGGAAUAUUGGACAAUGGGCGCAAGCCUGAUCCAGCCAUGCCGCGUGUGUGAAGAAGGUCUUCGGAUUGUAAAGCACUUUAAGUUGGGAGGAAGGGCAGUAAGUUAAUACCUUGCUGUUUUGACGGUACCAACAGAAUAAGCACCGGCUAACUUCGUG
This 484-nucleotide ribosomal RNA is filed under the name uncultured bacterium. RNAcentral describes it as "partial 16S ribosomal RNA". It matches the Rfam family "Bacterial small subunit ribosomal RNA", at positions 30 to 507 of the family's 1533-position model. The record is from RNAcentral.